GUGAUCUUAGUUUAAGGUUAAAAUUUCUGCUUUGCACGCAGAGGAUUCAGAAAAUCUGGAGACCACA
This 67-nucleotide transfer RNA is filed under the name Holothuria spinifera. Its description in RNAcentral is "tRNA-Ala". It matches the Rfam family "tRNA". From Rfam's summary of the family: Transfer RNA (tRNA) molecules are approximately 80 nucleotides in length. RNAcentral also lists the same sequence under 1 other name. The record is from RNAcentral. Lineage: Eukaryota; Metazoa; Echinodermata; Holothuroidea; Aspidochirotida; Holothuriidae.